RNAcentral lists this ribosomal RNA (264 nucleotides) under Enterobacter hormaechei. RNAcentral's name for it is "partial 23S ribosomal RNA". It matches the Rfam family "Bacterial large subunit ribosomal RNA", at positions 2667 to 2925 of the family's 2925-position model. Lineage: Bacteria; Pseudomonadati; Pseudomonadota; Gammaproteobacteria; Enterobacterales; Enterobacteriaceae. The record is from RNAcentral.
GGGGGCUGCUCCUAGUACGAGAGGACCGGAGUGGACGCAUCACUGGUGUUCGGGUUGUCAUGCCAAUGGCACUGCCCGGUAGCUAAAUGCGGAAGAGAUAAGUGCUGAAAGCAUCUAAGCACGAAACUUGCCCCGAGAUGAGUUCUCCCUGAGACUUUAAGUCUCCUGAAGGAACGUUGAAGACGACGACGUUGAUAGGUCGGGUGUGUAAGCGCAGCGAUGCGUUGAGCUAACCGAUACUAAUGAACCGUGAGGCUUAACCUU